RNAcentral lists this ribosomal RNA (1128 nucleotides) under uncultured Lactococcus sp. RNAcentral describes it as "bacterial SSU rRNA". It matches the Rfam family "Bacterial small subunit ribosomal RNA", at positions 374 to 1501 of the family's 1533-position model. Lineage: Bacteria; Bacillati; Bacillota; Bacilli; Lactobacillales; Streptococcaceae. The record is from RNAcentral.
GGUCUGACCCGAGGCCAUCGCCCGCGUGAGUGAAGAAGGUUUUCGGAUCGUAAAACUUCUGUUGUAGAGAAGACGUGUGUAGAGUGAAAAUUACACAAGUGACGGUAUCUAGCCAGAAAGGGACGGCUAACUACGUGCCAGCAGCGCGGUAUACGUAGGUCCCGAGCGUGUCCGGAUUUAUUGGGCGUAAAGCGAGCGCAGGUGGUUUAAUAAGUCUGAUGUAAAAGGCAGUGGCUCAAACCAUUGUGUGCAUUGGAAACUGUUAGACUUGAGUGCAGUAGAGGAGAGUGGAAUUCCAUGUGUAGCGGUGAAAUGCGUAGAUAUAUGGAGGAACACCGGUGGCGAAAGCGGCUCUCUGGACUGUAACUGACACUGAGGCUCGAAAGCGUGGGUAGCAAACAGGAUUAGAUACCCUGGUAGUCCACGCCGUAAACGAUGAGUGCUAGUUGUUUGGGGCUAUCCAGCCCUAAGUGACGCAGCAAACGCAUUAAGCACUCCGCCUGGGGAGUACGACCGCAAGGUUGAAACUCAAAGGAAUUGACGGGGGCCCGCACAAGCGGUGGAGCAUGUGGUUUAAUUCGAAGCAACGCGAAGAACCUUACCAGGUCUUGACAUACCAGUGCUAUUCUUAGAGAUAAGAAGUUACCUCGGUACACUGGAUACAGGUGGUGCAUGGUUGUCGUCAGCUCGUGUCGUGAGAUGUUGGGUUAAGUCCCGCAACGAGCGCAACCCCUAUUGUUAGUAGCCAUCAUUAAGUUGGGCACUCUAGCGAGACUGCCGGUAAUAAACCGGAGGAAGGUGGGGAUGACGUCAAAUCAUCAUGCCCCUUAUGACCUGGGCUACACACGUGCUACAAUGGUUGGUACAACGAGUCGCAAGCUAGUGAUAGCAAGCUAAUCUCUUAAAGCCAAUCUCAGUUCGGAUUGUAGGCUGCAACUCGCCUACAUGAAGUCGGAAUCGCUAGUAAUCGCGGAUCAGCACGCCGCGGUGAAUACGUUCCCGGGCCUUGUACACACCGCCCGUCACACCACGAGAGUUUGUAAUACCCAAAGCCGGUGAGCUAACCUUUUAGGAGGCAGCCGUCUAAGGUAGGAUAGAUGAUUGGGGUGAAGUCGUAACAAGGUAGCC